This is a long non-coding RNA of Astatotilapia calliptera (eastern happy), 3478 nucleotides long. NCBI's taxonomy places the organism in Eukaryota, Metazoa, Chordata, Actinopteri, Cichliformes, Cichlidae. The record is from Ensembl.
UUGUACUACUCUUAGAAUAAACUUCCACUCUUGUCACACUAAGCCACAAACACAGGUUUGGUGAGACAGAUUUAUUCAGCCAUCAUGAGACACGCAUUACAUAAGAAGAAUAAAGGUGUUUUUGUGCCUCUGCAGGAGGAGCCGCUUACACAACACAAGACGCCACACAAACCUGAUGAUGAUGAUGUGACAAACUCAGGUUUUGUAAACACAAGGAUGCAGCUGCUGCAGUAACGGACGCAGGAAGCAGCUUCGCUGCCGACUUCAGCUCGUUCCUCAGAUCUCGCCGGGUGGGCAGACCAUCAUUGGACCAGCAGGAAGUGUCAUGUUUCACGCUCACAGCUUUAAAACCAAAACCCCCACAGCUCGCUGACUGACAGUUUCCUCAGCCAAUCAAACGUGAACACAGCUCAGAAGAAAUCCAUUAAAACCCUUCUGCCCAAUCAUUUGCAUUCACUUUAAUCCCAGCGCAGCUGCGGGGGGGCUGCUGAUUGGCUGACAUCAGAGUUUAUCAGUGUCAGAUGACAAACAGCUGCAAAAGGAAAAGUUAAUCUGAUGAAGACUGUGUGGUUUUGGACAGCGUUCCCACCGAGGCUCUUCCAGAGAAGCUCUGUGAUCAGCACUCUCAGUGCAACAAUCAUAUGCACCAAUAGAAUCAGCGUCUAUCACAAAAUAAAAGCAUAGUGUGACACAAAAGCACUCUGUCUGUUUCCACCUGAAGGGAAAGGACUGUCGACAGGAAGAGGCUUCAUUUCCCAGAAUCCAAGAGCGAGAAUGAGCCACAACGUCGACUCCAGCCUGGACGUCCUCGUCUCCACCUACACGCUUUGUAAAGUCACCGCAGUCGGGACGGUUUCUGACGUGGUCAGAUUUUUGUAAUCAAAUCAUUAUCUGUGCACGACUCCCACAUCCAAACAAUCCCUCGUAUGCUCCCGUCUCUUUAAGACAGCCCUCCCUAAAUCCCACUGUUUUCUCAUUGGUCAGUGUCUGGAAACCUGCAGUUAGUCGGUGGGCAGAGAUGCGUUAUAAAAGUAGAACGAGCUGUUGGAAACUGAGCGUUCAGAGCAGCCUGAACAUUUUCUCUCAGGAGGAUUAAAUACGUCUGAUAUGACACAAAAAAGGAAGAAGAUGCGAGUUUCAACUAGUCUGGGAAAAAAUCUCAGGCUGAACAUCUUGAUCUUAAGAAAACAUCCUGAUCUUCUUCAGGCCUCGGUGGAGGGGACGUUCAGGUUCCCAGCAUGAGUCUAGAAUGAGAGUAACAGUUUCUGGAGCUAAAAUGAUCCAAAACAACGAUGCUCCACAGGAAAACAGUUUGUCCCGGGUGAAAGUGUUGGAAUCAGAGACCUAUCCUUCCUUUGUGUCCAUUAAAACAGUCCCCGUGUCUUUGAACCAAAGUACAACACGUUCAGGUUUCAAGUCGAGUGUUGACACGGUCAGAGGCGUUCCUGAAGCUGGUUUAACGGCAGCGUUAAUGCCGCAUGUCUCAGUUUGUGAACACAAACGUUUUCAGUGGGAAGCUGGAACGAGCCGAGUCAAAUACAAUAACUCCUCCCACGCUCUGCACAGUUCACCAAUGCACCAGAAGCUCGGGCACUUACGUUCCCGUCGUCGCCAUUGUCGAUGUGGAGCAAGUGCCCAGCUGCCAUGUCACUCUGUGGUUUCCGCGGUAACCAGUCAGACAGUUUUCCCUGACGAGUCAGUGCUGCUGUUAGAGCAUCCGGGCACAGGAUGGCGUUCAUGAACGGCGCGACUCGAAUAAACAGACCAAUCAGAUGUGGCUCACUGUCCUGACUGUGCUGCGUUUGUGUGCGUGUUUGGAGAAACAAUCAGUGCUGGCUCUUACUGGCAAACACAUUUAAUAACUGGAUGUGAAACAGGAUUGGCUGGUGCACACAGAGCUGGGAACAGCUGGACCAACCUGUACGUUAGUGUGAUUUGCAAAAAUAAAUACAACGUGGACGAAUCUUCAGCUGUGACAGAAGAGCUGCAGUGAAACUUACACGAAGCAGUUUUUAUCAGCAGAUGUUUCAAAAACUACAAAAUGAUCUUUUUCAAGACAACAUUAAACACAUUUGGUUUGUGAGCUGAGAUCAACCUGAACAUCUGGAUAACAGCUGAGCAGAUGUGAGACAGCCAAUCAGGAACAGCAGAAGAUUACACACGUUUAAAGCAGUAAUAACUGUGACACCUUAGCUUACAACAGGCCUUUCAAGCAGUGCGCUAAAAACAGGGAGCUAAAAUAUCUCAUCUGAAGCCCCGUUUGGGGUCCCUGAACCACAGUUUGAGUAACACAGUAAUUGGAUGAAGAAUUUAAAAAGCGUUAAAAAUAAAAACAAAGAACUUUCUGAAUAAUAAUAAUAAUAAUAAUGAUAAUUUUUGGUGUUUUUCUAGUGGAGGUUUAGGACUGUGGGUCCAGUCCUGCAUGUCUGGAUUUCUAUCGUUGUGAGGACCCUCCAUGACACAACCUGAACAACAAAUCUCAAUCUGCAGGCAUGUCCUCACAUGAUCCAACAAUCACACAGGUCUCCACAAAGAUAGACAUGUAAGAGCACAAGCACACACAGUGCAGUCCAGUGUAGCAGGGAUUCAUGGGACUUUCCCGUCUCCUAAAACAAGAGUCCUUUAAAAUUCAGCACCAGCAGCGUCCUGGGAGACGGCAUCCAGUGAUGUAAUCACUUUGGACACGUGAUCCCUGAACAUACGCACGGUUCAGAAUCUGCUGACGAAGCCCCAGAAGGUGUAAUGAUCCUUCAGGAGCUGAAUACUAAACAACGGGCCAUCCUCGAAAUGAAGUCCAGUAAAAAACACUCCACAAAAAACGUCCACGUGAAAUCUUAAAUCGAACACUUUGGAGCCAGAAAACUUUUUCUUUCAUAAAUACAGACAUCCUGUCAUUUGUUUGAUACUGAAAAAAUUGAAAUGGAUGCUGGGAAAUGGAGUCUAAUGACGUUAAUACUGACAGGGAAACCUGUAGUGACCAAAAAUAUUAGUUUUAUUCUGGUUUCUUCAAAGGUGGGAACUGAUUAUCAGUCUUUGUGAGUAAAAAAAAUCCACAGUUAUAUCUGGUCAGGCUAGUGCCUCCUGUAGGUGUUAGGGGUUCAGCGCUUUGCACAAGGGCACUUCAGUAGGGUGGAGGAGGGAGUCAAAGCACCUGGCUGGCAGUCAAGUGCUAGAGGCGAGGCUCAGUGUGGAGAAGAAAGAGUUCGGUCAGCUGGUCUGGGUCGAUGUCAUACACUCCUAGAAGAUGAAAGACAGGAAACGUCAAACGGUGCUGACUAGUGUAAAAAUGUGGCAGUCAGCGCCCCCUACAGGCAGAACAUCCUUCAAUCCAAAGGGUUCAUCCUCUGGGGAUCAGGAUAAACAUCUGUACACUUCCACAAACUCUAAACACGUGGAGGAACAGUGAACUGACCGAUGCUGGAGGUGUGCUGCAGCAUAAACAAUUAUGUAAUAGUUACAGUUUAUGGGCAAGUGCCCU